RNAcentral lists this small RNA (779 nucleotides) under Pongo abelii (Sumatran orangutan). RNAcentral describes it as "processed transcript". Lineage: Eukaryota; Metazoa; Chordata; Mammalia; Primates; Hominidae. The record is from RNAcentral.
GCGGGGGGGGGCGGAGGCGGCAGGGAUGCGAUGGCGGAGUCGCUGCCCCUGGAGAUGCUCACAUAUAUUCUGAGCUUCCUGCCUCUGUCAGAUCAGAAAGAGGCCUCCCUCGUGAGCUGGGCUUGGUACCGUGCCGCCCAGAAUGCCCUUCGGGAGAGCCUGGGCCUCAAGGGCAUCUGCUGCAUCCGCCUGACCAACCUGGAUGGCUCUCCAGCUUCACACCAGAUGCUACAAUCUGUUGCUUACCACCUGGGCCCACACCUGCAGAGCUUGUCCCUGGGUGGAGGCAGUCCCACAGAGGCCUCCUUUGUGGCCCUGAUCCUGGGCUGCCCAGCCCUGUGUGUCCUUGACCUCAGUGGCUGCAAUAGCCUCUUCACCUCGGGCACACUGCUGGCUCAGCCCGAGAUGGCACAGAGCGUCCGGCAGGCUUUGAGCGGCCUCCGUGAGCUCAACCUGGCUGGCCUGCGAGACCUGGCUGACCUCAGCUUCAACCGGCUCAGCAGCUGUGCCCCCAGCCUGGAGCGCCUCUCCUUGGCAUACUGCCACCUCACCUUCGAGCUAGGCCCAGCCCGAGGGUCCAUCGGCCCCCAAGACUCCUCUCCCUCCCAGUUCUCCUUCUGCAACCUGCUGCGAUUCGUGCAAGAGCGGGCUGGCAGGCUGCGUGCCCUGGACCUGAGUGGCACUGGCUUGCCACCCGAGGCCCUGCGGGCCCUGGGCCAGGUAGCUGGGCUGCAGCUUCAGGAGCUGAGCCUGCACAGCUGCCGGGACCUCUCCACAGA